CCGACGGUGAGGGGCGAAAGCUGGGGGAGCAAACCGGACUAGAUACCCGGGUAGUCCCAGCUGUAAACGAUGCGCGUUAGGUGUGUCAGUGACCACGUGUCACUGAUGUGCCGAAGGGAAACCGUGAAACGCGCCGCCUGGGGAGUACGGUCGCAAGGCUGAAACUUAAAGGAAUUGGCGGGGGAGCACCACAACGGGUGGUGCCUGCGGUUUAAUCGGACUCAACGCCGGAAAUCUCACCGGAUAA
Molecule: ribosomal RNA, 247 nt
Filed under: uncultured archaeon
Lineage: Archaea
Description: partial 16S ribosomal RNA
Rfam family: Archaeal small subunit ribosomal RNA
Source: RNAcentral